This is a long non-coding RNA of Spodoptera frugiperda (fall armyworm), 969 nucleotides long. RefSeq lists it as uncharacterized. The transcript is spliced from 2 exons. The record is from RefSeq and is a predicted model, not a curated record. Lineage: Eukaryota; Metazoa; Arthropoda; Insecta; Lepidoptera; Noctuidae.
GUAUACUUAUCCCAAUCACCAAAUCUCAACUACGUACUGAGGGUGUCUAUGGGCGGCGGUGGUGAUUGCUUACCAUCAAGUGAUCCGUCUGCUCGUUUACCGGCUAAUACCAUAUAAAAUCAACUCAAUGGAUCGUUACCUAUUUUAACUUUUGUAAAAUUAAUUAUUUGCCUGACAAACUAACUUGACAGAUUGUUACCUAUUCCAACUUUAGCAAAGUUAAUAAUUCACCAGACAGUCAGUCAACCAUCCUCCUAGGCAACUCAGAUGCAACUAAACGACCAAGUUGAGGUGAAUAAUCAUACAUAAACAAUUCACGUAGUUGUCGCAUGAUCCAAUUAGACAACCUAUUAAAAUUUAAAUAAGGUUUGUUUUAAAUAACUGGAAACUAUAAGUGCAGUAUUUAUGAAUAGUGAACAAAGCUACUUUGUAAUCAAUGCCCUAGUACAUACUGGAUAGGACGAUGCCGCCCAACACGGAUGUUAAUGUGAUAUCAUGUAUAUGGAUCGGGUACUUGUACAUAGAUUCAUUCAUUACGCUGAAGAUCAAGGACAGUUUUUUAUCAUAGAACGACAAGACUGCUAAUCGGGGCGUGGUCGUUUGUAUCUGUAUAUAAGCCAGGACCGACAGACCAACAGCAUCACUUGAGACAGCAAUCCCAAGUAACUCUACAACCAUGUUCUUCAGACUGUUCGCCCUCUUCGCCGUGUUGGCCGUGGCUUUCGCCAGCCCCAGCCCCAACCCCAAGCCUGAGCCCCAGUUUGUCUACUCCGCUGGCGCUGCGUACCCCUACGGCUACGCCCCGGUUGCCGCUGCCUACUCCGCUCCCUACGCUGCCUACCCUGGCUACGCCUACGGAUCUUACUUCGUCCGCUGAUAAACCAAACAACACGAAAAUACUUUGGCUUGCUCAAUGACUCUGAUUCCAAAACGUUUGAACAUGUUUUAAUAUAAGUUUUUUGUCGCAAA